RNAcentral lists this ribosomal RNA (267 nucleotides) under Triticum aestivum (bread wheat). RNAcentral's name for it is "partial small subunit ribosomal RNA". The record is from RNAcentral. Lineage: Eukaryota; Viridiplantae; Streptophyta; Magnoliopsida; Poales; Poaceae.
UCGGCCAGCCACAGCUCCAAGAAUAUGCAGAGGAGGUGGCCCGGGUCGGCGUCGGCGCCGUCCGGCACGUGCCACGGACCCGCUUACAAGUGCGUCUGCGUGCCGGCCACCCACGCCGGGUCCUUCAAGUGCCGCUUCCACCGCACCAACUCCCAGGGCCACGGCCACGGCCAGGGUCAAGGAAGCCGCCCUUCUUCGCCGGCCAACGCGGUUCCGCGGCAACCGGCCUCGCCGUCCUCGUCCUCCGGCACCGUCGCGACCCAGUGA